GACGAACGCUGGCGGCGUGCCUAACACAUGCAAGUCGAGCGAAUGAAGUUCCUUCGGGAAUGGAUUUAGCGGCGGACGGGUGAGUAACACGUGGGCAACCUGCCUCAUAGAGGGGAAUAGCCUUCCGAAAGGGAGAUUAAUACCGCAUAAGAUUGUAAUACCGCAUGGUACAGCAAUUAAAGGAGCAAUCCGCUAUGAGAUGGGCCCGCGGCGCAUUAGCUAGUUGGUGAGGUAACGGCUCACCAAGGCGACGAUGCGUAGCCGACCUGAGAGGGUGAUCGGCCACAUUGGGACUGAGACACGGCCCAGACUCCUACGGGAGGCAGCAGUGGGGAAUAUUGCACAAUGGGGGAAACCCUGAUGCAGCAACGCCGCGUGAGUGAUGACGGCCUUCGGGUUGUAAAGCUCUGUCUUCAGGGACGAUAAUGACGGUACCUGAGGAGGAAGCCACGGCUAACUACGUGCCAGCAGCCGCCGUAA
This 480-nucleotide ribosomal RNA is filed under the name uncultured bacterium. RNAcentral's name for it is "partial 16S ribosomal RNA". It matches the Rfam family "Bacterial small subunit ribosomal RNA", at positions 28 to 523 of the family's 1533-position model. The record is from RNAcentral.